RNAcentral lists this ribosomal RNA (292 nucleotides) under uncultured bacterium. RNAcentral's name for it is "partial 16S ribosomal RNA". It matches the Rfam family "Bacterial small subunit ribosomal RNA", at positions 505 to 796 of the family's 1533-position model. The record is from RNAcentral.
GUGCCAGCCGCCGCGGUAAGAUGUAGGGGGCGAGCGUUAUCCGGAUUCACUGGGCGUAAAGGGCGCGUUGGCGGUUACGUAAGUCCGAUGUGAAAACUCGAGGCUCAACCUCGAGAUGUCGGCGGAAACCAUCUGGCUAGAGUCCGGAAGAGGAGAGUGGAAUUCCUGGUGUAGCGGUGAAAUGCGCAGAUAUCAGGAAGAACACCCGUGGCUAAGGCGGCUCUCUAGUACGGUACUGACGCUGAGACGCGAAAGCGUGGGGAGCAAACAGGAUUAGAUACCCGAGUAGUCC